This 61-nucleotide transfer RNA is filed under the name Macroponema beveridgei. Its description in RNAcentral is "tRNA-Leu". Lineage: Eukaryota; Metazoa; Nematoda; Chromadorea; Rhabditida; Strongylidae. The record is from RNAcentral.
AAUAUUAGCAUAAAUAGUAUAUAAAAUAUAUUAGGUUUAGAGUCUAAAGAAAAUUAAUUAU